Long non-coding RNA from Mauremys mutica (yellowpond turtle), 443 nucleotides. RefSeq lists it as uncharacterized. The transcript is spliced from 3 exons. The record is from RefSeq and is a predicted model, not a curated record. Lineage: Eukaryota; Metazoa; Chordata; Testudines; Geoemydidae.
GUGGAACUGUUGAUGUUUAUUGGCUUAUUCUCCUGAGAUUUUUUUUUUUUUGCACCAGUCUUUAGACAAACAAGUUUAGAAAGGUUUGUUAGUGAAGAUCUCAUUACCCUCAUCAGCAUAAAGAAAAGCAAAUGCUAUCAUCUUUGUGCUGUGCUGUUCCUUAGCCUGAGGUAUCAAGGUUUGUUUAUCUGCCAGAUCGUAGUGUGGGUAUAGGCUUCUUCACUGCUGGAUGACUGUAUCCUGCAAUGAGUAAGAUAUGCUCAUAUUUACAGAAGUUGCCGAUGGUACCUAGUAUUCCAGCAGCUGUAGGUACAGGAUCUAGUGUCUGGUCUGUUCCUGGUCUGAAGGGAACUUGCUUUUGAUGAUUAGCUUGACAAGGUUUGUGGGAGGGGUGGCUGCAUUUCAGUGUCAAAUGAUGUGAUCCUUUAUAUGUAGUCUAUGUA